UCGAGGGGUAUAUUUCUUCGGAGAUAGAGACCGGCGCACGGGUGCGUAACGCGUAUGCAAUCUACCUUUCACAGAGGGAUAGCCCAGAGAAAUUUGGAUUAAUACCUCAUAGUAUUACGAAAUGGCAUCAUUUUGUAAUUAAAGUCACAACGGUGAAAGAUGAGCAUGCGUCCCAUUAGCUAGUUGGUAAGGUAACGGCUUACCAAGGCCACGAUGGGUAGGGGUCCUGAGAGGGAGAUCCCCCACACUGGUACUGAGACACGGACCAGACUCCUACGGGAGGCAGCAGUGAGGAAUAUUGGACAAUGGGCGCAAGCCUGAUCCAGCCAUGCCGCGUGCAGGAUGACGGUCCUAUGGAUUGUAAACUGCUUUUGCACAGGAAGAAACAACGCUACGUGUAGCGUCUUGACGGUACUGUGAGAAUAAGGAUCGGCUAACUCCGUGCCAGCAGCCGCGGUAAUACGGAGGAUCCAAGCGUUAUCCGGAAUCAUUGGGUUUAAAGGGUCCGUAGGCGGUUUAGUAAGUCAGUGGUGAAAGCCCAUCGCUCAACGGUGGAACGGCCAUUGAUACUGCUAGACUUGAAUUAUUAGGAAGUAACUAGAAUAUGUAGUGUAGCGGUGAAAUGCUUAGAGAUUACAUGGAAUACCAAUUGCGAAGGCAGGUUACUACUAAUGGAUUGACGCUGAUGGA
RNAcentral lists this ribosomal RNA (690 nucleotides) under uncultured Bacteroidota bacterium. RNAcentral's name for it is "bacterial SSU rRNA". It matches the Rfam family "Bacterial small subunit ribosomal RNA", at positions 62 to 753 of the family's 1533-position model. Lineage: Bacteria; Pseudomonadati; Bacteroidota. The record is from RNAcentral.